Oncorhynchus tshawytscha (Chinook salmon) is the source of this 575-nucleotide long non-coding RNA. NCBI's taxonomy places the organism in Eukaryota, Metazoa, Chordata, Actinopteri, Salmoniformes, Salmonidae. The record is from Ensembl.
GGCCGAUGCUGCAGGGAUGUAAUGAGGUGAUGUAAUUACACAGGCCGAUGCUGCAGGGAUGUAGAGGUCAUGUGAUGUAAUUACACAGGCCGAUGCUGCAGGGAUGUAGAGGUCAUGUGGUGUAAUUACACAGGCCGAUGCUGCAGGGAUGUAGAGGUCAUUUGAAGCAGCCUUUCUUCCAUCGCGUGUUUGGAACAAUGACAAAGACAUCGGCAACUUUGUAUUCUGUCGUCAACUCCGCUCUGAAGUGACCUGGCGGGCACCGUCAGGCAGAGAUCAACAUCUUGAUGUAUGUUCAGUGAGAUCUGAGUUUACAGUGUACAACAUCUAGCACUUAGCUGACAUUUGUUUGUUUUUUUAACAAGCUUUUUCAAGUACAACAUUAAUAUAAUGAUGGUUUUGGGAAACAUUGAAGGAGAUUUAAUGAUGCUCCUAACGAAGGUUUUAAAGAGGAAUUUAUUAGUCUUACGAUGCUUCUGAGAAAUCAGUCUCUCUGGGUCUCCUGUUCUCUCACCCAGAGGAUUAUGGUUGUAUCCUAAAUGGCACGUCUCUCUCCCUCCCUGCUAGAGGCACCU